Molecule: ribosomal RNA, 460 nt
Filed under: uncultured bacterium
Lineage: Bacteria
Description: partial 16S ribosomal RNA
Rfam family: Bacterial small subunit ribosomal RNA
Source: RNAcentral
CCUACGGGGGGCUGCAGUGAGGAAUAUUGGUCAAUGGACGAGAGUCUGAACCAGCCAAGUAGCGUGAAGGAUGACUGCCCUAUGGGUUGUAAACUUCUUUUAUAAAGGAAUAAAACGAGGCACGUGUGCCUUUUUGCAUGUACUUUAUGAAUAAGGAUCGGCUAACUCCGUGCCAGCAGCCGCGGUAAUACGGAGGAUCCGAGCGUUAUCCGGAUUUAUUGGGUUUAAAGGGAGCGUAGAUGGGUUGUUAAGUCAGUUGUGAAAGUUUGCGGCUCAACCGUAAAAUUGCAAUUGAUACUGGCAGUCUUGAGUACAGUUGAGGUAAGCGGAAUUCGUGGUGUAGCGGUGAAAUGCGUAGAUAUCACGAAGAACCCCGAUGGCGAAGGCAGCUUACUAAACUGUGACUGACAUUGAUGCUCGAAAGUGUGGGUAGCAAACAGGAUUAGAUACCCGUGUAGUC